Molecule: ribosomal RNA, 373 nt
Filed under: uncultured organism
Description: partial 16S ribosomal RNA
Rfam family: Bacterial small subunit ribosomal RNA
Source: RNAcentral
AGAGGGUGCAAGCGUUAAUCGGAAUUACUGGGCGUAAAGCGUGCGUAGGCGGAAAUUCAAGUCGAUUGUGAAAGCCCCGGGCUCAACCUGGGAAUUGCGCUCGAUACUGAAUUUCUAGAGUAUGGUAGAGGGAAGUGGAAUUUCCGGUGUAGCGGUGAAAUGCGUAGAUAUCGGAAAGAACACCAGUGGCGAAGGCGACUUCCUGGACCAAUACUGACGCUAAGGCACGAAAGCGUGGGGAGCAAACAGGAUUAGAGACCCUGGUAGUCCACGCCGUAAACGAUGAGAACUAGACGUUAGUUCCCGCUUUGCGGAAUUAGUGUCGAAGCUAACGCGUUAAGUUCUCCGCCUGGGGAGUACGGCCGCAAGGCUA